AUGUGGAGGUUUUCUAUUCUGUGCCUCUGUGGACUCACCACUUCUGUGACUACAGACUCCACGGUAACUUUGCUGGAACAGAAGCCUAGGUGGGGUCUGGUACUACGUGGUCAAGCUGUGACCCUGAGCUGUAUCUUGAAGGAUUCCCAGUACCCCUGGAUGAGCUGGUACCAGCAGGAUCCUCAACAGCAGCUACAGUGGCUGGUCACUCUGCGGAGUUCUGGGGACAAAGAGGUCAAAUCUCUCCCCGGUGCUGACUACCUGGCCACACGAGUCACGGAUACAGAGCUGAGGCUCCAGGUGGCCAACGUGACCCAAGGCAGAACCUUGUACUGCACCUGCAGUGCAGACACAGUGAAGGCAGCUGUGGAAGCCGAGCCCCCAGCCCACGUGGGCUCUUCCUUCAAUAAGGAGCGAUGCGGAGCAGCAACACGGAAGCAUUCAUUAGGCAUUAGCGCUUCUUUCCCCAGCGUGCACAGUGAAAGGCAGGCCCAGUGUGAUGCCAGUGUCCGUUCCCAAUGGCGAGUUGGAUUAAAACCCAGAGAAAUUUCAAGAGCUCAGGUCAAAGUGGGCUGA
Molecule: non-coding RNA, 576 nt
Organism: Cricetulus griseus (Chinese hamster)
Lineage: Eukaryota; Metazoa; Chordata; Mammalia; Rodentia; Cricetidae
Source: the annotation of a RefSeq genome assembly